This 468-nucleotide ribosomal RNA is filed under the name uncultured bacterium. RNAcentral's name for it is "partial 16S ribosomal RNA". It matches the Rfam family "Bacterial small subunit ribosomal RNA", at positions 28 to 507 of the family's 1533-position model. The record is from RNAcentral.
GACGAACGCUGGCGGCGUGCUUAACACAUGCAAGUCGAACGGAAAGGCCCUGCUUUUGUGGGGUGCUCGAGUGGCGAACGCGUGAGUAACACGUGAGUAACCUGCCCUUCACUUUGGGAUAACUUCAGGAAACUGGGGCUAAUACCGGAUAGGAUCUCCUGCUGCAUGGUGGGGGUUGGAAAGUUUCGGCGGGUGGGGAUGGACUCGCGGCUGAUCAGCUUGUUGGUUGGGUAGUGGCAUACCAAGGCUUUGGAGGGUAGCCGGCCCGUGAGGGUGGCCGGCCACCUUGCGACUGCGAUAGGGACCAGAGUCCUAUGGGAGGCAGCAGUGGGGAACAUUGCACAACGGGCGGAAGCGUGAUGCGGCAACGCCGCGUGCGGGAUGACCGCUUUUGGGUUGUAAAACGCUUUAGCCUGUGACGCAGCGUUAGUGACGGUAAUGAGUAAAGAAGCACCGGCUAACUACGUG